This 23-nucleotide small nuclear RNA is filed under the name Arabidopsis thaliana (thale cress). Its description in RNAcentral is "snRNA_03932". Lineage: Eukaryota; Viridiplantae; Streptophyta; Magnoliopsida; Brassicales; Brassicaceae. The record is from RNAcentral.
UAAAGAGUAUCUCAAAGUUUCUC